GCUGGGCAUGGUGGUGGGUGCCUGUAGUCCCAGCUACUUGGGAGGCUGAGGCAGAAGAAUUGCUUGAACCUGGGAGGCAGAGCUUGCAGUGAGCCGAGAUCGUGCCACUGCACUCCAGCCUGGGUGACAGAGCAAGAUUCUGUCUCAA
Molecule: non-coding RNA, 148 nt
Filed under: Nomascus leucogenys (northern white-cheeked gibbon)
Lineage: Eukaryota; Metazoa; Chordata; Mammalia; Primates; Hylobatidae
Source: Rfam by way of RNAcentral